UGUAUGUCAUUAAUGGUGCUCAGUUUCCUCGGAUACUUUGUAAGCAAAGAACUUUCUCGUAGUUUGACAUGUACACUUCAAUUUCCUGUUUGAAGGUCUUCCUUUUACACAUUUUCUCUUUUUAGUGAGUUUAUGCUCCUUAUAGUUUGAUAUUUUAAGACAUUUGACAAGCAUGGCCGGUGAAGUGAUUACCACUGUGGUGUAUAAUGUUAUAUUUGUUAUAUUUCUUUCCCAUGAGUGGAAGAGGGGUUACUAAGCUUGUUGAGCUUCUUUUGGAAAACCUUCAGUAAAGGGUUCUGUGGACUUGCUUUAUGAAGUGGUUUGUUUGCAAAUACGGGUUGUUACAGAAGGCUCAUCUUUGUGACUUGUAUGUCAUGUUACAAAUGUACUCAUUUUCUGUGCUGCAUCAUUUUUCUCUAUACAGCAUGCAUAUCGAGAUGGCCGUCUAGAGGAGGUAGUUCUACGUCAUCUUGGGUCUGAGGAUGGAGAAACUGUGAUAGCUAAAAAUAUUAGGCUGUCAGAGUUCCUUGGUAACAUGCGUAUAAGGUGAACAGAUGCUGUUUUAUAGUCUAGAGAUAUCUAAUGAUAUGUAGAAAUCAUGCGCCACUUCAAUUGCUGAGUUCUUUUCAAAUGCCAGUGUGGCACUCCAGUUGUUUUUAAGUUAUGAUGCAAUAGAGAUAUUUAUAUGCUUUUCUAAGAUUUGUGGGACCAGAACAUGGAGUGUUGGGCAUGCUAUACUAGUUAUCAAGGUGCAUCUUCUAUCAAAGUAAUAAAAUCGUCAUGCAUUGGAUGGGUAUGUUUG
Quercus lobata is the source of this 802-nucleotide long non-coding RNA. RefSeq lists it as uncharacterized. The transcript has 5 exons. The record is from RefSeq and is a predicted model, not a curated record. Lineage: Eukaryota; Viridiplantae; Streptophyta; Magnoliopsida; Fagales; Fagaceae.